GAUGAAGAACGCAUCGAAAUGCGAUACGUAAUGUGAAUUGCAGAAUUCAGUGAAUCAUCGAAUCUUUGAACGCAUAUUGCGCUCUCUGGUAUUCCGGAGAGCAUGCUUGUUUGAGUAUCAGUAAACACCUCAACUUCCAUAUCUUUUUUGAAAUGGGAGUUGGACUUGAGUGAUCCCAACGCUUUUCCUCACCGAAAAGUGGCGGGUUACUUGAAAUGCAGGUGCAGCUGGACUUUUCUCUGAGCUAUAAGCAUAUCUAUUUAGUCUGCCUAAAAAACAGAUUAUUACCUUUGCUGCAGCUAACAUAAAGGAGAUUAGUUCUUGUGCUGACUGAUGCAGGAUUCACAAAGACAGGCUUCGGCCGACUUUGUAAACUCGAUCUCAAAUCAAGUAAGACUACCCGCUGAACUUAAGCAUAUAAUAAGCGGAGGA
Molecule: unclassified non-coding RNA, 432 nt
Filed under: soil metagenome
Description: partial contains 5.8S ribosomal RNA, internal transcribed spacer 2, and large subunit ribosomal RNA
Rfam family: 5.8S ribosomal RNA (bases 1-120)
Source: RNAcentral